UGGGGAAUAUUGCACAAUGGGCGGAAGCCUGAUGCAGCGACGCCGCGUGGGGGAUGAAGGCCUUCGGGUUGUAAACUCCUUUCGACAGGGACGAAGCUUUUGUGACGGUACCUGUAUAAGAAGCACCGGCUAACUACGUGCCAGCAGCCGCGGUAAUACGUAGGGUGCGGGCGUUGUCCGGAAUUACUGGGCGUAAAGAGCUCGUAGGUGGUUUGUCGCGUCGUCUGUGAAAUUCCGGGGCUUAACUCCGGGCGUGCAGGCGAUACGGGCUGACUUGAGUGCUGUAGGGGAGACUGGAAUUCCUGGUGUAGCGGUGAAAUGCGCAGAUAUCAGGAGGAACACCGAUGGCGAAGGCAGGUCUCUGGGCAGUAACUGACGCUGAGGAGCGAAAGCAUGGGUAGCGAACAGGAUUAGAUACCCUGGUAGUCCAUGCCGUAAACGGUGGGCGCUAGGUGUAGGGGGCUUCCACGUCUUCUGUGCCGUAGCUAACGCAUUAAGCGCCCCGCCUGGGGAGUACGGCCGCAAGGCUA
RNAcentral lists this ribosomal RNA (530 nucleotides) under uncultured bacterium. Its description in RNAcentral is "bacterial SSU rRNA". It matches the Rfam family "Bacterial small subunit ribosomal RNA", at positions 355 to 896 of the family's 1533-position model. The record is from RNAcentral.